UUUUAUUAGAACUCAUUAAUAAUAAAAUCUGCUCCAUGAAAAUUAAAUAGCCGCAAUUAACCCUGUGCUAAGGUAGCAUAAUAAUUUGUCUUUUAAAUAAAGACUAGAAUGAAAGAUUAAACAUUUUAAUUUAUCUUUAUAAUAUAAUUUUAAAAAUUAUUCUAAAUGUAAGAAAACAUUUAUAAAAAAGAAAGACGACAAGACCCUAUCGAACUUAACUUAAGUUAAGCUGGGGCAGCUCAUUAAAAAUUAUUUUAAUAUAAUUAAUUCACAAUAAGACCUAAUCACAUUAAUUUCCAGAAAAAGUUACCGUAGGGAUAACAGCGUAAUAAAUUUUCAAAGUUCUUAUAAAAAAAUAAGAUUGCGACCUCGAUGUUGAAUAAUAACCUUUAUAAACGACGCAAAAGUCGUAAAAGGAAGUCUGUUCGACCUUUAAAUAAUUACA
This 445-nucleotide ribosomal RNA is filed under the name Nyssus cf. coloripes MR669. RNAcentral describes it as "partial 16S ribosomal RNA". The record is from RNAcentral. Lineage: Eukaryota; Metazoa; Arthropoda; Arachnida; Araneae; Corinnidae.